ACAUCAAAAUAUAAAUUUAUAUAAAAACGUUUCACAAUUUUUAUUUUAUAUACACAAAAAAACAUUUAUACAAAUAAUACUCAGUGACAAUUUUCACCCUCAUUGUUGAACCCGUUCAAAAAAAGUUUUUGCAUAAAAAUGUGUCAUUUGUUUAUAACAAUAAUAUAAAUUAAUGCACACAUCGCGUGCAUCAAAAACGUGUACUGAUCGUCAAAUAUACAAAAUUAUAACCUGUGUAGUUGAAAAUUCAACCAAAAUUCCCUUGGUGAAUAAUUAUAAAGAAGCCGGAUUUCGUAUUUAUAUUAAUAUUAGUAUGAUUCAGAAAACUAGUUUGAGUCAAAAUAACAAACAUCCACAAUAAAAAAAACAUUAAUACGCAGCAGACAAAUUUUUUUAAAACUUGCAUCUUUUAAUCUUAAAUCAAAUAAAAGCUUAAGCAAUGUUCUUUGAAUUAAAAAAAGAAAACAACUGAUGACUUUUUUAAUGAGUUAUUGGCCGCCAAAAUCAAAAAUCCCACGUAAAUAUUAUAACAAUAUAUAACUAGAUAAACAAGCAUAAUGCUUUACGAAAAAAGUUUAAUAAACUAAUAAUAAUUAGUAAAUCCAGAUCACAUAUGGUUAUGUGUGACCAACUCAGCCAUCAAAAAAUAAUUUUAAAGGAUAUUUUUAGACUGUGACAUAUAGAUGUGUUACUUUGAUAAAACUAGGGUCAAUCAUAAUGUAUAACUUUAUAUUUAUCUUAAUUUAAGUUUUUUAUGUCGAAAGCAAGAUUAAUAGUUAAAACUAUAAGUCAUUAAUCCUUUCAAACCUUUGGUACUUAUUUUUAUUGUAUUUCUUUUUUUUAUUUGCAAUUGUAGUUUUG
This is a long non-coding RNA of Daktulosphaira vitifoliae (grape phylloxera), 861 nucleotides long. RefSeq lists it as uncharacterized. Lineage: Eukaryota; Metazoa; Arthropoda; Insecta; Hemiptera; Phylloxeridae. The transcript has 4 exons. The record is from RefSeq and is a predicted model, not a curated record.